GUUUAUUAUAAAAUCAUUUUAAACUUGAAGCCAGUCAGCACUGAAAUUACAUGAGUUGCACACAGCUACAAACAGCAACAUAUACACAUCACUAUUUAAUCCCUUAUACAAUCUGAGUAUGAAAGCACAAAAUACAUUUCUUCACAUAACAAGGAAAAAUAUAUUUGACCUCUGAUUAUAAUGUCUCAAUAACAAGUUGAAGUUCAACAUUAUUUUCCAGGUGGUGAAUUAUUCUGAAAACAGGGUAAAGAACCAAGAAAAUACACAUUACUACCCCUUGUUUAUUUAAUUAUAGACAGUCAAUUUGGAGCAAUGUUGGUAAACAACUGAAGCUAGAAAGAAUUUUCACAAAAGCUCUCUCUAUAUGUUUAACAAGUGCUCUUAUUUAGGUUCUAAAUUCAAAUUAUGCAGAACAGUAAAUCAGACUUUAUUUUUAAGUCUGCAAGUGAGAAAAUUGAGACCAUUUGUCUUAACACAGAAACAUCUAUAUAUGU
Molecule: long non-coding RNA, 494 nt
Organism: Dipodomys ordii (Ord's kangaroo rat)
Lineage: Eukaryota; Metazoa; Chordata; Mammalia; Rodentia; Heteromyidae
Exons: 3
Source: RefSeq, a predicted model, not a curated record